CACUCAAAUCAAUUAGCAACGGCCAUAAUGUUACUAAAACCCAUAAAAAUAAUAAUAAUAAAACAUAAUAGAAGAAACCGCUUUACCAGGAAUAUCUGUAAAACAAUUCACUGCAACGGCCGUUCCAUCAGCAAUUAUUGGCAAUAAAUAGUAUUGAAAGCAGAAGUUGUACGAAUACGCCGCUAGACUGAUGUUUCUUCAUGUUAACAAGCGCUGAUGUCAUCGAAGCUACGUUUCGCUAAGCUGUAUAAUCUAGACACCAAUAGCUACUGCAAUUCAAUGUGGAAACUCCUGAGCAUUUGCAGCGCCAGAAGACAAAGUAUGAAUAUGAAUAGCGGCAAAUCUCUGAAGCCAAUCGGAUCGAAUACGUAUAGUCCAUGAUAUACUGCAAUUGAAUACGAUUAUGGCUAUUGAUGCAGUCUCUGGUCAGCUUUUUGUUCCGUAAGUUUUUUCAAAUCACUUCAACAAUGUUAAUAAAAGUUGUAAAUUAGUUCAAUCGUCAUUGAAUAUAAAUAAAAAUGUAAUUUUAUGUGUUCAAGAUUAGAAUCUUGUAAUUUAUGCUAUUGUAAAUUUAUAUAGGAGUAGUGCUUAUACAAAUUAACAAAAAAAAAACUCUAUAACAUCACGGCACAAAAUUCGCCUGAAAAUUUAUAAUUGCAAAUGUAAUUAAAAAGAAAAAAAUUGACAAAUAAAAUAUAUUUUAUGCAUAAAA
Molecule: long non-coding RNA, 712 nt
Organism: Ceratitis capitata (Mediterranean fruit fly)
Lineage: Eukaryota; Metazoa; Arthropoda; Insecta; Diptera; Tephritidae
Exons: 2
Source: RefSeq, a predicted model, not a curated record